Molecule: ribosomal RNA, 514 nt
Filed under: uncultured bacterium
Lineage: Bacteria
Description: bacterial SSU rRNA
Rfam family: Bacterial small subunit ribosomal RNA
Source: RNAcentral
UAGUCCACGCCGUAAACGAUGAAUACUAGGUGUCGGGGGUCGAACCUCGGUGCCGCAGCUAACGCAUUAAGUAUUCCACCUGGGGAGUACGAUCGCAAGAUUGAAACUCAAAGGAAUUGACGGGGGCCCGCACAAGCGGUGGAGCAUGUGGUUUAAUUCGAAGCAACGCGAAGAACCUUACCAAAUCUUGACAUCCCGAUGACCGGCAUUUAAUUUUGCCUUUUCUUCGGAACAUCGGUGACAGGUGGUGCAUGGUUGUCGUCAGCUCGUGUCGUGAGAUGUUGGGUUAAGUCCCGCAACGAGCGCAACCCUUACUUUUAGUAGCCAGCAUGUAAUGGUGGGGACUCUAGAGGGACUGCCGCGGAUAACGCGGAGGAAGGUGGGGAUGACGUCAAAUCAUCAUGCCCCUUAUGAUUUGGGCUACACACGUGCUACAAUGGUUGUGACAAUGGGUUAAUCCCCAAAAGCUAUCUCAGUUCGGAUUGUCGUCUGCAACUCGACGGCAUGAAGUCGG